CACAGCUGGUCGCCGUCAGUACCUUGUUCAGAAGCCUCUCGCAGCUUCCAUCGUGUGGUUAUACAAUCCAAAUUCCUUAUAAAGUCCAAAUUCAAGAGGAGGAAUGCACGUUUAGUUAAGUUAAUGUCUAGACCUUACCAGCCAAUUUCUAGCUCCUCAGUAUGGAAAUUGCAACUGAAAACACCCCUUCCAAAAAAAGCAGUCUGCAUUUUUCUCUGAGUUUUCUUCUCCAAAUUUCGCACCCCUGACCUUGCUUACACACUCUGGAUACCACCUGCUGUGGAGUGGCGGAAGCAGACAUCCAGCGAUAGCUAAGUUUCCUGUCGUUGACACCCAAGCAAGACAGGCGUGUACCUAACUGAGGACCUGCCGGUGAUAGAAGUCUCAGCUUUUCUCAGAGACAGAUGAGUCUUCCCUUUAAAUGCUGCAAAGUGCUGCAUAGUAGAUGUUAAAUGAAAGUCAGAAAGAAUCAAAUGUGCUGCAAAU
This 486-nucleotide long non-coding RNA is filed under the name Homo sapiens (human). RNAcentral describes it as "non-protein coding lnc-MED10-16:1". Lineage: Eukaryota; Metazoa; Chordata; Mammalia; Primates; Hominidae. The record is from RNAcentral.